AAAAUCCGUCGAUUUUAGWAAUCGUGAGGGUUCAAGUCCCUCUAUCCCCA
This 50-nucleotide transfer RNA is filed under the name Potentilla recta. RNAcentral describes it as "transfer RNA-Leu". Lineage: Eukaryota; Viridiplantae; Streptophyta; Magnoliopsida; Rosales; Rosaceae. RNAcentral also lists the same sequence under 3 other names. The record is from RNAcentral.